This 493-nucleotide ribosomal RNA is filed under the name uncultured Anaeroplasma sp. Its description in RNAcentral is "partial 16S ribosomal RNA". The record is from RNAcentral. Lineage: Bacteria; Bacillati; Mycoplasmatota; Mollicutes; Anaeroplasmatales; Anaeroplasmataceae.
CACGGAGUUAGCCGGUGCUUAUUCAUCGGGUACCGUCAACGGCGUUAGAAAACACCGGUUUCUUCCCCAAUAAAAGAACUUUACAUUACGAAUAACUUCUUCGUUCACGCGGCGUUGCUCGGUCAGGGUUCCCCCCAUUGCCGAAAAUUCCCUACUGCUGCCUCCCGUAGGAGUAUGGACCGUUCUCAGUUCCAUUGUGGCCGUUCAACCUCUCAGUCCGGCUACGCAUCAUCGCCUUGGUAGGCCCUUACCCACAACUAGCUAAUGCGCCACAGGCCCCUCCUUAAGCAGAUCUCUCUUUUAAAUAUAAAAGAUUCUUCCUCUAUAUCCUAUCCAGUUUUAUCCAUCGUUUCCAAUGGCUAUCCUCGUCUUAAGGGUAGGUUACCUAUGUAUUACUCACCCGUUCGCCACUAAAGUACCCGAAGGUACUUCCGUUCGACUUGCAUGUAUUAGGCACGCCGCCAGCGUUAAUCCUGAGCCAGGAUCAAACUCU